AUUGAACGCUGGCGGCAGGCCUAACACAUGCAAGUCGAGCGGAUGACGGGAGCUUGCUCCUUGAUUCAGCGGCGGACGGGUGAGUAAUGCCUAGGAAUCUGCCUGGUAGUGGGGGACAACGUUUCGAAAGGAACGCUAAUACCGCAUACGUCCUACGGGAGAAAGCAGGGGACCUUCGGGCCUUGCGCUAUCAGAUGAGCCUAGGUCGGAUUAGCUAGUUGGUGGGGUAAUGGCUCACCAAGGCGACGAUCCGUAACUGGUCUGAGAGGAUGAUCAGUCACACUGGAACUGAGACUCGGUCCAGACUCCUCCGGGAGGCAGCAGUGGGGAAUAUUGGACAAUGGGCGAAAGCCUGAUUCAGCCAUGCCGCGUGUGUGAAGAAGGUCUUCGGAUUGUAAAGCACUUUAAGUUGGGAGGAAGGGCAGUAAGUUAAUACCUUGCUGUUUUGACGUUACCGACAGAAUAAGCACCGGCUAACUCUGUGCCAGCCGCCGCCGUAA
This 500-nucleotide ribosomal RNA is filed under the name uncultured bacterium. Its description in RNAcentral is "partial 16S ribosomal RNA". It matches the Rfam family "Bacterial small subunit ribosomal RNA", at positions 30 to 523 of the family's 1533-position model. The record is from RNAcentral.